Molecule: long non-coding RNA, 697 nt
Filed under: Nicotiana tabacum (common tobacco)
Lineage: Eukaryota; Viridiplantae; Streptophyta; Magnoliopsida; Solanales; Solanaceae
Description: long non-coding RNA (NTAB_LNC000802)
Source: RNAcentral
UUCUGAGAAAACUCUUCUGGCUACUAUUAUCAUCUUUAUGCUAGUUUUAUCUCCGGCUGUGCCCAGCAACGCCGCCGGACUGACUCGUCGAGGUAUAUUAGUACUACUCCUUCCGUCUCAUUUUAUGUUGCACACUUUCUAUUUUUGUUUAUCCCAAAAAGAAUGAAAUCUUCUUCUAUAUUUAGAAAUAAUUUAAUUUUAAAAUUUUUAUUUUAUCCUUAGUAAAAUAAUUUAUAGUUAUACAAACGUUUAUGACUUGUUAUAGGCCAUAAAUUUCAAAAGAAAUUUUUUCUUUCUUAAAUUCUAUGCUCAAUCAAACAAUAUCACAUCAAUUGGAACGAAUGGAGUAUUGGACAACGUUAAUUUACAAUCAUAAACAACUGACGAUAUGAUCAUAAUUGUUGCAGAGCUUGGUUUUAAGGAACCACCAUGUAACAAUUGCAACUGUUGCCAACCAAAUACACCGUCCUGUUGUGUUUGCGCUUGCGCCGUUCCGUUUGCCGCCGCCGUCGACCGGCCAUGAUAUAUGGACUUAAAGCAAGAUGCAGAGAAGAGACGAGUUGUGUGAUGAUUUCUACAUAAGAAUGAAAUAAGAAAACAAUUUGCUCGUGCAAUUAAUGCUUUUGGCAAUAUGUUUUGGGUGAUUUGAAUUUUAUGUGUGUGAAUAAUAUUGCUCCUAUUUUGUUUUGGGCUUCCU